GAUGAACGCUGGCGGCGUGCCUAACACAUGCAAGUCGAGCGGAGAUAAGAGGAGUACUUGUACGAGUUUUAUCUUAGCGGCGGACGGGUGAGUAACACGUGAGUAACCUGCCUUUUACUGGGGAAUAACAUCGAGAAAUCGGUGCUAAUACCGCAUAAUGUCACGAGGCUGCAUGGCCAUGUGACCAAAGGAGCAAUUCGGUAAAAGAUGGACUCGCGUCCGAUUAGGUAGUUGGUGAGGUAACGGCCCACCAAGCCUGCGAUCGGUAGCCGAACUGAGAGGUUGAUCGGCCAAAUUGGGAAUGAGACACGGCCCAGACUCCUACGGGAGGCAGCAGUGGGGAAUAUUGGGCAAUGGGGGAAACCCUGACCCAGCAACGCCGCGUGAAGGAUGAAGGUCUUCGGAUUGUAAACUUCUUUGAUCAGGGACGAAGAAAUGACGGUACCUGAAGAACAAGCCACGGCUAACUACGUGCCAGCCGCCGCGGUAA
RNAcentral lists this ribosomal RNA (490 nucleotides) under uncultured bacterium. RNAcentral describes it as "partial 16S ribosomal RNA". It matches the Rfam family "Bacterial small subunit ribosomal RNA", at positions 28 to 523 of the family's 1533-position model. The record is from RNAcentral.